AUUGAACGCUGGCGGAAUGCUUUACACAUGCAAGUCGAGCGGCAGCGCGGGGCAACCUGGCGGCGAGCGGCGAACGGGUGAGUAAUACAUCGGAACGUACCCUGUCGUGGGGGAUGACGAGUAGAAAGAUUCGCUAAUACCGUAUACGACCUGAGGGUGAAAGCGGGGGAUCGCAAGAGCACGCGCGAUAGGAGAGGCGGGGGGCGGAUUAGCUAGUUGGUGAGGUGAAGGCUCACCUAGGCGACGAGCCCUAGCUGGUCUGAGAGGAUGACCAGCAACACUGCAACUGAGACACGGUCCAGACUCCUACGGGAGGCAGCAGUGGGGAAUAUUGCACAAUGGGCGCAAGCCUGAUGCAGCCAUGCCGCGUGUAUGAAGAAGGCCUUCGGGUUGUAAAGUACUUUCAGCGGGGAGGAAGGCGGUGAGGUUAAUACCCUCAUCGAUUGACGUUACCCGCAGAAGAAGCACCGGCUAACUCCGUGCCAGCAGCCGCCGUAA
Molecule: ribosomal RNA, 498 nt
Filed under: uncultured bacterium
Lineage: Bacteria
Description: partial 16S ribosomal RNA
Rfam family: Bacterial small subunit ribosomal RNA
Source: RNAcentral